GUCUACCGCCAUACCAGCCUGAACGCACCCGAUCUUGUCUGAUCUCCGAAGCUAAGCAGGGUUGGGCCUGGUUAGUACUUGGAUGGGAGAAAACUGUCUUUAUUCACA
Gorilla gorilla gorilla (western lowland gorilla) is the source of this 108-nucleotide ribosomal RNA. The record is from Ensembl. NCBI's taxonomy places the organism in Eukaryota, Metazoa, Chordata, Mammalia, Primates, Hominidae.